UACCUGCAGCUCGAGUGGUGAUCGUUAUUAUUGGGCCUAAAACGUCCGUAGCCGGUCUUCUAAAUGCCUGGGUAAAUCGUAUGGCUUAACCAUACGAAUUCCGGGUAGACUGUUAGACUUGAGACCGGGAGAAGCUAGAGGUACUCCUGGGGUAGAGGUGAAAUUCUGUAAUCCUAGGGGGACGACCAGUGGCGAAGGCGUCUAGCUAGAACGGGUCUGACGGUGAGGGACGAAGCCCUGGGGCGCAAACGGGAUUAGAUACCCCGGUAGUCCAGGGUGUAAACGCUGCUUGCUUGAUGUUAGUCUGGCUCCGAGCCAGAUUAGUGUCGGAGAGAAGUUGUUAAGCAAGCUGCCUGGGAAGUACGGCCGCAAGACUGAA
Molecule: ribosomal RNA, 379 nt
Filed under: uncultured archaeon
Lineage: Archaea
Description: bacterial SSU rRNA
Rfam family: Archaeal small subunit ribosomal RNA
Source: RNAcentral